GCCAACAGCAACAUUGUAUCUGUGGCAGCAAGUUCCACACUUUCUUCAUGAUGGGACUGUGACGUCGAAUUUUACAGUACAGAAGGAGGUCAUCCGACCCAUCCUAAUUCUAGACUCUCCCAACAUCGUUAAACAUCCAUAGAGAAUGCUGGAGGAACUCAGCAAGUCUGGCAACAUCUGUGGAGCGAGAAAUAGAGUUCAAGUUUCAAGUGCAGUAUGACUUACCUCAGGGGGAAAACAUCCUCCCUGCAUCUCAUCUGUCCGGCCUUGUUAGAAUUAUAUACGUUUCAAUCAGGUCCCAUCUCACCCUUCUUUCCGCCAGUGAAGACAGGCCCAGUUAAACCAAUGUCUCCUCAUAGAGGCUGACGUUUCGGGCCUAGACCCUUCAUCAGAAAAGGGGGAGGGGAAGGGGGGGCUGCUUGGCCUGCUGUGUUCAUCCAGCCCUGCACCUUGUUGUCUCGGAUUCACCAGCAUCUGCAGUUCCAACUAUCUCUGUCUCCUCACAGAACAGUCUUACAGUGCUCAAUACCAGCCAAGUGAAUCUCCACUGUGCUCCCUCUAAGAGGGUGGUUCGCGUGAGGAAUCAACUUCUUGAGGAAGUGGUGGAUCCAGGCACAGUUACAACAUUUAAAAGACACGUAGAUAAGAAGAAUGCUCUUGUUCUCGAAGGAGCGCAGCGAAGGUUUACCAGGCUGAUUCCGGGGAAUGGGGCCUGUUCACACAGGACGGCAGGAUAUGAAGCAAAAUUAUUUU
This is a long non-coding RNA of Rhincodon typus (whale shark), 753 nucleotides long. RefSeq lists it as uncharacterized. The transcript is spliced from 4 exons. The record is from RefSeq and is a predicted model, not a curated record. Lineage: Eukaryota; Metazoa; Chordata; Chondrichthyes; Orectolobiformes; Rhincodontidae.